Molecule: long non-coding RNA, 254 nt
Organism: Sinocyclocheilus grahami
Lineage: Eukaryota; Metazoa; Chordata; Actinopteri; Cypriniformes; Cyprinidae
Exons: 3
Source: RefSeq, a predicted model, not a curated record
AAGACAGGAAGAGGGAAAACGACAGGCUGCCCAACUGGAACAUCAGUGUAUGGAAGAGGAAGCUCAGAAGGAGGAGGAGCUCAGGAAGCUGUCAGAGAUGGAGGAGGCUGAGAGACUGGAGUACCUGCGCAAGACAGCAGGAGCAGGAGGAGGAGAGGAGGAGGAAGCAGCGACGCACGCUGAAGAAGAGGCCAGGCUGCAGGCUGAACUGUUUGCCAGGCAGAGGGCAGCACUGGAGCAGCACUUAAAGUUUC